UACGAAGGGGGCUAGCGUUGCUCGGAAUCACUGGGCGUAAAGGGUGCGUAGGCGGGUCUUUAAGUCAGGGGUGAAAUCCUGGAGCUCAACUCCAGAACUGCCUUUGAUACUGAGGAUCUUGAGUCCGGGAGAGUGAGUGGAACUGCGAGUGUAGAGGUGAAAUUCGUAGAUAUUCGCAAGAACACCAGUGGCGAAGGCGGCUCACUGGCCCGGUACUGACGCUGAGGCACGAAAGCGUGGGGAGCAAACAGG
RNAcentral lists this ribosomal RNA (252 nucleotides) under uncultured bacterium. Its description in RNAcentral is "partial 16S ribosomal RNA". It matches the Rfam family "Bacterial small subunit ribosomal RNA", at positions 524 to 776 of the family's 1533-position model. The record is from RNAcentral.